Molecule: ribosomal RNA, 508 nt
Filed under: uncultured bacterium
Lineage: Bacteria
Description: partial 16S ribosomal RNA
Rfam family: Bacterial small subunit ribosomal RNA
Source: RNAcentral
AUUGAACGCUGGCGGCAGGCCUAACACAUGCAAGUCGAGCGGCAGCGGGAAAGUAGCUUGCUACUUUUGCCGGCGAGCGGCGGACGGGUGAGUAAUGCCUGGGGAUCUGCCCAGUCGAGGGGGAUAACUACUGGAAACGGUAGCUAAUACCGCAUACGCCCUACGGGGGAAAGCAGGGGACCUUCGGGCCUUGCGCGAUUGGAUGAACCCAGGUGGGAUUAGCUAGUUGGUGAGGUAAUGGCUCACCAAGGCGACGAUCCCUAGCUGGUCUGAGAGGAUGAUCAGCCACACUGGAAAUGAGACACGGUCCAGACUCCUACGGGAGGCAGCAGUGGGGAGUAUUGCACAAUGGGGGAAACCCUGAUGCAGCCAUGCCGCGUGUGUGAAGAAGGCCUUCGGGUUGUAAAGCACUUUCAGCGAGGAGGAAAGGUUGGUAGCUAAUAACUGCCAGCUGUGACGUUACUCGCAGAAGAAGCACCGGCUAACUCCGUGCCAGCCGCCGCUGUAA